RNAcentral lists this ribosomal RNA (508 nucleotides) under uncultured bacterium. RNAcentral's name for it is "partial 16S ribosomal RNA". It matches the Rfam family "Bacterial small subunit ribosomal RNA", at positions 28 to 523 of the family's 1533-position model. The record is from RNAcentral.
GAUGAACGCUAGCGGCAGGCUUAAUACAUGCAAGUCGAGGGGCAGCAGGUCCCGCAGCAAUGCGGGAUGCUGGCGACCGGCAAACGGGUGCGGAACACGUACAGAACCUUCCUUUAAGUGGGGAAUAGCCCGGGGAAGCCCGGAUUAAUACCCCGUAACAUAAUGAAGUGGCAUCACUUUAUUAUUAUAGCAGCAAUGCGCUUGAAGAUGGCUGUGCGGCUGAUUAGGUAGUUGGCGGGGUAACGGCCCACCAAGCCUACGAUCAGUAACUGGCGUGAGAGCACGACCAGUCACACGGGCACUGAGACACGGGCCCGACUCCUACUGGAGGCAGCAGUAAGGAAUAUUGGGCAAUGGACGCAGGUCUGACCCAGCCAUGCCGCGUGGAGGAUGAAGGUCCUCUGGAUUGUAAACUUCUUUUAUCUGGGAAGAAAUCUAUUUUUUCUAAAGUAGUUGACGGUACCAGAUGAAUAAGCACCGGCUAACUCCGUGCCAGCCGCCGCGGUAA